AGGUACACGCACGGCGUGUUUCCGUUUUCGUGCUGACGCCACACUUUUGCUCACCCCCUCUUUAUCGAGCUCGCUCUGCCGUACUUCUCUCUCCCUGCCACCAACUCCAUCGUCGUGCAGUAAUCAUUGACGAGGAAGAACAACAACGCCAAGCAACUCCCCCCUCCCCUCCUUAAGCCGAAGGACUGUUGAACCAUCGCGGCAAGAUAAACGGACCCACUUGCAUUUGACCGAGCGCACCCACACACGCGCCAACCAGCCGACGGAGACGCGCACAUCCCUCGGCCUUUCUCUCCGGCUUUGGCAACUUGCGUGCACUUGUUGUCUCGCAUCAUCGUCUUCUUGGAUGUCUGCAAACACACCUCAGCACCACAAGGGCCAUCAAGUCGCCGCCGGAGAGACUUUCUUCUACCGUCAGCAUGUGCGUCCAGGCGUAGAGACGACCUUUCGCAUUCGGCUUAUUUCUGGCACCGCCAACCCAGACCUCACCGACAACGUGGCCAAGUGCCUGAACGUGGACAAGUGCCGCACGGAAAUCAAACGGUUUGCUAACGGGGAGCUGAACAUCAAGGUGGUCGACAAUGUUCGCGGUGAUGACUGCUUCAUCAUUCAGCCGACUGCCGGCGGCUUCGACACGGACGUCAAUACGGCCAUGAUGGAGCUGCUGCUGCUGGUGCACACUCUGAAGCUGUCUUCGGCGAAACGAAUUACGGCUAUCGUGCCCUACUACGCGUAUAGCCGCCAGGAUCGCAAGAGUGAGCCGCGUGUGCCGAUCUCUGCCUCAGCGGUGGCGCAGCUGCUGCAGUGCAUGGGUGUUGACCGUGUCGUGACGAUGGAUCUGCACUGCGGUCAGAUACAGGGCUUCUUCAGGAACAUCCCGGUGGACAACCUGCUCAUGUUCCCCGAGUUUGCCACAUACCUGAUGCGGCAGCCAUGGUUUGACAAGAACCAAACCGUGGUAGUCUCGCCCGAUGCCGGCGGCGUGGAGCGCGCCAACGUGCUGGCCGAUCGCAUCGGCGCUAGCCACAUUGUUACCAUCCUGAAGCGUCGCAAGGAGGCCGGAAAGGUGGACUCUAUGCAGACGGUCGGUAACGUCCAGGGCUACACGUGCGUCAUCGUCGACGAUAUGGUCGACACCGCGGGCACACUGUGCAAGGCGUGCGACCUACUGAAGGAGAUGGGCGCGACGCGUGUCAUUGCCUGCGCGAGCCACGGCAUUUUGACCGAUCCGGCGUGUGACCGCAUUAACGCCUGCGAGGCACUGGAAGAGUUAGUGGUCUCCGACUCGAUUGAUCAGCGCCUGACAACGGCGAAGUGCGAUAAGCUGACCGUACUGACGACUGCACCUCUGCUGGCGCAAGCCGUGCACAGCCUCCACACGGAAGCGUCGUUGUCCUCUCUUUUUGUGAAGCUGUAGCUCCCAGCUCCGCGACACUAGAAAGAGGCGCGCCCGUGCGUGCGCCACCGUCGCUUUCACGUUCAUACACCCUAACAUGAAAGCGUGCAGCAGUGGAAACACGAAUAAAGCCGAACGCGCCCGCCCCUCCAAACAGAGAGAACGAAAGCGGCCCGAGAGGGCGAAGCGGAACUUCUUCAUCCCUUUUCCGCCCGUCCCGCACCCGUUCCUUUUUUCCCGCCUCUCUCUCUCUCGUUUUUUUACCUUUUUGUUAACUUUCUGAUCCUCGUAUUUGUUCGCUUAAUAUCUUCGUGCGGAUGUAGAUGUGUGUGUGUGUGUGCGCAGGUGUGCAUGGCGGGUUCUAUGUGCUGUAGCCGGAUGCGGGCGUCUGCGUGCCUGCAGGGGUGCGCGAUGCCGUGGUGGUGGUGCGGGGGAAAUCGGAGAGGCACUGCGUUUCCUUCUAUACAUUCACAAUAACAAGGCGGAAAAAGAUAAACGAGUAGAGCAAAGGGCUCGUCUCACAUUCCACAAGGCACGCACCCAUACUUGCCAUGCCGCGGAUGUCUGCGGCGUUUUCUCUGGGUCAGGCUUGUGUGUGUGGGCGUUUUACUGUGGAGAUUCAUCGAGCUCGUCCUUAUGGCCGUAAACGCGUGACGUGCAUAUUUUGUGAGAUGUAGCAGGAGCGCCUAUUUUGCUCUUCGUCCUUGAGUGUCGGUGUGCGCGCGCGCCUGCGAGGGGUCUCUCUCUUUUUUUCGCGCUCCACUUUUUUCUCGUGUUUGCGUGUGUUUGUUUGAUGUUUACGUUUUGAUUGAUUUCGGGUGUCCUCUGCACAUCCGCACAAUGCUGGCAAACGUAAAG
RNAcentral lists this unclassified non-coding RNA (2254 nucleotides) under Leishmania donovani. RNAcentral describes it as "gene:LdHU3.33.2960(CDS-product:phosphoribosylpyro phosphate_synthetase_putative)". The record is from RNAcentral. Lineage: Eukaryota; Euglenozoa; Kinetoplastea; Trypanosomatida; Trypanosomatidae.